ACGCGGCUCUACGUCCGAUUCCGCCGGCGCGCGGGCCUCGAGGCCACCUACACGGAGAUUUGCGAUGGAUUGUUCGUGGGGCGUGGCCAUUCCAGCGCGAUCACAUCCCUCCGGGCAGUCCCGCGGUCGUGGAUUGCACCAACGAGCUACCCAGGACGGUGGGAUUGGAGCUUCCCUAUGUGUGCAUCCCGGCCUGGGAUACCAGAUCGCCAUCGCCGGAGGGCAUCGAGCUAGCCGUGCGCUGGGCUCUCGUCAAGCGCUCCCAGAACCAUCCCAUUCUCAUCCACUGUGCCAAAGGUCAUGGGCGUAGUGUGGCUGUUACGUGCGCGCUGCUGGUGGCAUUGGGCGUGGUGGGCGACUGGAAGGAAGGCGAGAGCCUGAUCAAGAGACAUCGCCCACGGAUCCGUCUCAAUGCAGCGCAAAGGAAAUCUCUUCAAGAAUGGCAGCUUCGGCGGUAUUGAUAUGUUAGCAGAUGGUCUUCGUAUUUGUUGAUACUGAACCUUGAAACCGAGCUAAUGUGUUUUCUCCUCGUGAAAUAUACUUCUCUUAGUACUGAUUUUAGA
Selaginella moellendorffii is the source of this 563-nucleotide long non-coding RNA. RefSeq lists it as uncharacterized. The record is from RefSeq and is a predicted model, not a curated record. Lineage: Eukaryota; Viridiplantae; Streptophyta; Lycopodiopsida; Selaginellales; Selaginellaceae. The transcript has 3 exons.